RNAcentral lists this unclassified non-coding RNA (471 nucleotides) under Hevea brasiliensis (rubber tree). The record is from RNAcentral. Lineage: Eukaryota; Viridiplantae; Streptophyta; Magnoliopsida; Malpighiales; Euphorbiaceae.
UGCCUCAGCGCGGCUGCUCUCUACCUCUUGGGGAGGAGCAGCGGAAGGGAUGCGGAUGUACUCAAGUCGGUUACCAGAGUGAACCAGUUGAAGGAUUUGGCUGUUCUACUGGACACUGCUUCCAAAGUCUUACCUCUGGUAGUCACUGUUUCUGGACGGGUUGGUUCCGAAACACCAAUUAAAUGUGAACACAGUGGUCUAAGAGGAGUGAUAGUUGAGGAAACAGCAGAACAACACUUUUUAAAGCAUAAUGAUGCUGGAUCCUGGAUACAAGAUUCUGCUUUGAUGCUUUCAAUGAGCAAGGAGGUUCCCUGGUAUGUGGAUGAUGGAACUGGGCGUGCAUAUGUUCUGGGGGCUCGAGGAGCUUCAGGUUUGGCAUUAACUGUUGCAAGUGAAGUUUUCGAAGAGUCGGGACGGUCUCUAGUGCGUGGAACACUAGACUAUCUGCAAGGUCUUAAGAUGCUUGGAGUA